Molecule: ribosomal RNA, 497 nt
Filed under: uncultured bacterium
Lineage: Bacteria
Description: partial 16S ribosomal RNA
Rfam family: Bacterial small subunit ribosomal RNA
Source: RNAcentral
GAUGAACGCUGGCGGCGUGCCUAAUACAUGCAAGUCGAGCGAACGGACGAGAAGCUUGCUUCUCUGAUGUUAGCGGCGGACGGGUGAGUAACACGUGUAUAACCUACCUAUAAGUCUGGGAUAACUUCGGGAAACCGGAGCUAAUACCGUAUAAUAUUUUGAACCGCAUGGUUCAAAAGUGAAAGACGGUCUUUCUGUCACUUAUAGAUGGAUCCGCGCUUCAUUAGCUAGUUGGUAAGGUAACGGCUUACCAAGGCAACGAUGCAUAGCCGACCUGAGAGGGGGAUCGGCCGCACGAGAACUGAGACACGGUCCAGACUCCUACGGGAGGCAGCAGUAGGGAAUCUUCCGCAAUGGGCGAAAGCCUGACGGAGCAACGCCGCGUGAGUGAUGAAGGUCUUCGGAUCGUAAAACUCUGUUAUUAGGGAAGAACAGAUGUGUAAGUAAAUGUGCACAUCUUGACGGUACCUAAUCAGAAAGCCACGGCUAACUACGUG